GUUGAAGAACGUAGUGAAAUGCGAUAAGUAAUGUGAAUUGCAGAAUUCAGUGAAUCAUCGAAUCUUUGAACGCACAUUGCGCCCGUCAGUAUUCUGGCGGGCAUGCCUGUUCGAGCGUCAUUACGCCCCUCAAGUCCCCUGUGGACUUGGUGUUGGGGAUCGGCGAGGCUGGUUUUCCAGCACAGCCGUCCCUUAAAUUAAUUGGCGGUCUCGCCGUGGCCCUCCUCUGCGCAGUAGUAAAACACUCGCAACAGGAGCCCGGCGCGGUCCACUGCCGUAAAACCCCCCAACUUUUUAUAGUUGACCUCGAAUCAGGUAGGACUACCCGCUGAACUUAAGCAUAUCAAUAAGCGGAGGA
Molecule: unclassified non-coding RNA, 358 nt
Filed under: soil metagenome
Description: partial contains 5.8S ribosomal RNA, internal transcribed spacer 2, and large subunit ribosomal RNA
Rfam family: 5.8S ribosomal RNA (bases 1-120)
Source: RNAcentral